RNAcentral lists this ribosomal RNA (119 nucleotides) under Nicotiana attenuata. The record is from RNAcentral. Lineage: Eukaryota; Viridiplantae; Streptophyta; Magnoliopsida; Solanales; Solanaceae.
GGAUGCGAUCAUACCAGCACUAACACACCGGAUUCGCGAAUUUUAGCCAUUUUUCACCUCUUUUGAAACGAGUAGUACUAGGAUGGGUGACCCCCUGGGAAGUCCUCGUGUUGCAUCCC